This 253-nucleotide ribosomal RNA is filed under the name uncultured bacterium. RNAcentral's name for it is "partial 16S ribosomal RNA". It matches the Rfam family "Bacterial small subunit ribosomal RNA", at positions 526 to 779 of the family's 1533-position model. The record is from RNAcentral.
CGCAGGUGACAAGCGUUGUCCGGAUUUAUUGGGCGUAAAGCGAGCGCAGGCGGUCCGGUAAGUCUGAUGUGAAAGCCCACGGCUCAACCGUGGAACGGCAUUGGAAACUGGCGGACUUGAAUGUAGCAGAGGAAAGUGGAAUUCCAUGUGUAGCGGUGGAAUGCGUAGAUAUAUGGAGGAACACCAGUGGCGAAAGCGACUUUCUGGGCUAUGAUUGACGCUGAGGCUCGAAAGCGUGGGAGCGAACAGGAUU